AAACGUAGGAGGCGAGCGUUAUUCGGAUUUACUGGGCGUAAAGCGCGUGCAGGCGGUUCGGCAAGUUGGAUGUGAAAGCUCCUGGCUCAACUGGGAGAGGUCGUUCAAAACUACCGGACUAGAGUAUGAGAGAGGGAGGUGGAAUUUCGGGUGUAGUGGUGGAAUGCGCAGAUAUCCGAAGGAACACCAGUGGCGAAAGCGGCCUCCUGGCUCAUGACUGACGCUAAGACGCGAAAGCUAGGGUAGCAAACGGGAUUAGAGACCCCGGUAGUCCUAGCCGUAAACGAUGUAGACUUGGCGUUGGUGGGGUAAAAUCCAUCAGUGCCGAAGCUAACGCGAUAAGUCUACCGCCUGGGGACUACGAUCGCAAGAUUAAA
This 377-nucleotide ribosomal RNA is filed under the name uncultured bacterium. Its description in RNAcentral is "bacterial SSU rRNA". It matches the Rfam family "Bacterial small subunit ribosomal RNA", at positions 523 to 898 of the family's 1533-position model. The record is from RNAcentral.